GACGAACGCUGGCGGCGUGCUUAACACAUGCAAGUCGAACGGAAAGGCCCUGCUUUUGUGGGGUGCUCGAGUGGCGAACGGGUGAGUAACACGUGAGUAACCUGCCCUUGACUUUGGGAUAACUUCAGGAAACUGGGGCUAAUACCGGAUAGGAGCUCCUGCUGCAUGGUGGGGGUUGGAAAGUUUCGGCGGUUGGGGAUGGACUCGCGGCUUAUCAGCUUGUGGGGGGGGUAGUGGCUUACCACGGCUUUCACGGGUAGCCGGCCUGAGAGGGUGACCGGCCACAUUGGGACUGAGAGACGGCCCAGACUCCUACGGGAGGCAGCAGUGGGGAAUAUUGCACAAUGGGCGGAAGCCUGAUGCAGCAACGCCGCGUGCGGGAUGACGGCCUUCGGGUUGUAAACCGCUUUCGCCUGUGACGAAGCGUGAGUGACGGUAAUGGGUAAAGAAGCACCGGCUAACUACGUG
This 468-nucleotide ribosomal RNA is filed under the name uncultured bacterium. RNAcentral describes it as "partial 16S ribosomal RNA". It matches the Rfam family "Bacterial small subunit ribosomal RNA", at positions 28 to 507 of the family's 1533-position model. The record is from RNAcentral.